UACGUAGGGGGCAAGCGUUGUCCGGAUUCAUUGGGCGUAAAGAGCGUGUAGGCGGCCAGGUAGGUCGGUUGUGAAAACUGGAGGCUCAACCUUCAGAGGUCGACCGAAACCAUCUGGCUAGAGUCCGGGAGAGGAGAGUGGAAUUCCUGGUGUAGCGGUGAAAUGCGCAGAUAUCGGGAAGAACACCCGUGGCGAAAGCGGCUCUCUGGAACGGUACUGACGCUGAGACGCGAAAGCGUGGGGAGCGAACAGG
Molecule: ribosomal RNA, 253 nt
Filed under: uncultured bacterium
Lineage: Bacteria
Description: partial 16S ribosomal RNA
Rfam family: Bacterial small subunit ribosomal RNA
Source: RNAcentral